GCCAGGCGCAGUGGCCUACGCCUGUAAUCCCAGCACCUUGGGAGGCUGAGGCAGGUGGAUCACCUGAGGUUAGGAGUUCAAGACCAGCCUGGCCAACAUGGUGAACCCCUGUCUCUA
This is an unclassified non-coding RNA of Papio anubis (olive baboon), 117 nucleotides long. It matches the Rfam family "Metazoan signal recognition particle RNA". Rfam says of the family: The signal recognition particle (SRP) is a universally conserved ribonucleoprotein. It is involved in the co-translational targeting of proteins to membranes. The eukaryotic SRP consists of a 300-nucleotide 7S RNA and six proteins: SRPs 72, 68, 54, 19, 14, and 9. The record is from Ensembl. NCBI's taxonomy places the organism in Eukaryota, Metazoa, Chordata, Mammalia, Primates, Cercopithecidae.